This 253-nucleotide ribosomal RNA is filed under the name uncultured bacterium. RNAcentral's name for it is "partial 16S ribosomal RNA". It matches the Rfam family "Bacterial small subunit ribosomal RNA", at positions 524 to 776 of the family's 1533-position model. The record is from RNAcentral.
UACGUAGGCAGCGAGCGUUGUUCGGAGUUACUGGGCGUAAAGGGUGUGUAGGCGGUUGUUUAAGUUUGAUGUGAAAGCUCGGAGCUUAACUCCGAAAUGGCAUUGAAUACUACUGGGCUUGAGGGUCGGAGGGGAGACUGGAAUUCUCGGUGUAGCAGUGAAAUGCGUAGAUAUCGAGAGGAACACCAGUGGCGAAGGCGAGUCUCUGGACGACCCCUGACACUGAGGCACGAAAGCUAGGGGAGCAAACAGG